This 395-nucleotide ribosomal RNA is filed under the name uncultured bacterium. Its description in RNAcentral is "partial 16S ribosomal RNA". It matches the Rfam family "Bacterial small subunit ribosomal RNA", at positions 523 to 918 of the family's 1533-position model. The record is from RNAcentral.
AUACGUAGGGUGCGAGCGUUAAUCGGAAUUACUGGGCGUAAAGCGUGCGCAGGCGGUUUUGUAAGACAGUGGUGAAAUCCCCGGGCUCAACCUGGGAACUGCCAUUGUGACUGCCAGGCUGGAGUGCGGCAGAGGGGGAUGGAAUUCCGCGUGUAGCAGUGAAAUGCGUUGAUUUGCGGAGGAACACCGAUGGCGAAGGCAAUCCCCUGGGCCUGCACUGACGCUCAGGCACGAAAGCGUGGGGAGCAAACAGGAUUAGAUUCCCUGGUAGUCCACGCCGUAAACGAUGUCAACUGGUUGUUGGGAAUUUAUUUUCUCAGUAACGAAGCUAACGCGUGAAGUUGACCGCCUGGGGAGUACGGCCGCAAGGUGAAAACUCAAAUGAAUUGACGGGG